RNAcentral lists this ribosomal RNA (319 nucleotides) under uncultured eukaryote. Its description in RNAcentral is "partial 18S ribosomal RNA". It matches the Rfam family "Eukaryotic small subunit ribosomal RNA", at positions 1470 to 1796 of the family's 1831-position model. The record is from RNAcentral.
CCCUUAGAUGUCCUGGGCCGCACGCGUGCUACACUGACGCCUACAGCGAGUACUUCCCAGCCCCGAGAGGUGGCUGGUAAUCAGCAAUAGGCGUCGUGAUGGGGAUAGAUCUUUGGAAUUAUGGAUCUUGAACGAGGAAUGCCUAGUAAGCGCAGGUCAUUAGCCUGCGUUGAUUAAGUCCCUGCCCUUUGUACACACCGCCCGUCGCUCCUACCGAUUUCGAGUGGUCCGGUGAAUCUUUCGGACUGCGCGCGGCUUCGUGCCGUGUCGCGGAAAGUCGGGUAAACCUUAUCACUUAGAGGAAGGAGAAGUCGUAACA